AUUGAACGCUGGCGGCAGGCCUAACACAUGCAAGUCGAACGGUAACAGGAUGAGGCUUUCUUCUUUGCUGACGAGUGUCGGACGCGUGAGUAAUGUCCGGGAAACUGUCUGAUGUCGGGGGAUAACUAGUAGAGACGGUAGCGAAUACAGCAUAAUCUACCUAGACCAAAGAGGGGGAGAUUCUGGCCUCUUGCCCUCUGAUGUGCCCAGAUGGGAUUAGCUAGUAGGUGGGGUAACGGCGCACCUAGGCGACGAUCCCUAGCUGGUCUGAGAGGAUGAUCAGCCACACUGGAACUGAGACACGGUCCAGACUCCUACGGGAGGCAGCAGUGGGGAAUAUUGGACAAUGGGCGCAAGCCUGAUGCAGCCAUACCGCGUGUAUGAAGAAGGCCUUCGGGUUGUAAAGUACUUUCGGCGGGGAGGAAAAGAGUAAGGUUAAUACCCUUGCGCAUUGACGUUACCCGAAGAAGAAGCACCGGCUAACUCCGUG
RNAcentral lists this ribosomal RNA (490 nucleotides) under uncultured bacterium. RNAcentral describes it as "partial 16S ribosomal RNA". It matches the Rfam family "Bacterial small subunit ribosomal RNA", at positions 30 to 507 of the family's 1533-position model. The record is from RNAcentral.